Non-coding RNA from Cordylochernes scorpioides, 72 nucleotides. Lineage: Eukaryota; Metazoa; Arthropoda; Arachnida; Pseudoscorpiones; Chernetidae. The record is from the annotation of a GenBank genome assembly.
GCCGAAAUAGCUCCGUUGGAAGAGCGUUAGACUGAAGAUCUGAAGUCCCUGGUUCGAUCCCGGGUUUCGGCA